UACAGAGGGUGCGAGCGUUAAUCGGAAUUACUGGGCGUAAAGCGCGCGUAGACGGUUUUGUAAGUCAGAUGUGAAAUCCCUGGGCUCAACCUGGGAACUGCAUUUGAGACUGCAUGGCUAGAGUAUGGAAGAGGGAAGUGGAAUUUCCGGUGUAGCGGUGAAAUGCGUAGAUAUGUGGAGGAACACCGGUGGCGAAAGCGGUUUUCUAGUUUAUACCUGACGCUGAGGCGCGAGAGCAAGGGGAGCAAACAGG
Molecule: ribosomal RNA, 253 nt
Filed under: uncultured bacterium
Lineage: Bacteria
Description: partial 16S ribosomal RNA
Rfam family: Bacterial small subunit ribosomal RNA
Source: RNAcentral